RNAcentral lists this small nuclear RNA (84 nucleotides) under Fukomys damarensis (Damara mole-rat). Its description in RNAcentral is "U4 spliceosomal RNA". It matches the Rfam family "U4 spliceosomal RNA", at positions 1 to 80 of the family's 138-position model. Rfam says of the family: U4 small nuclear RNA (U4 snRNA) is a component of the major U2-dependent spliceosome. The structure of U4 snRNA from yeast and human has been reported. The record is from Rfam by way of RNAcentral. Lineage: Eukaryota; Metazoa; Chordata; Mammalia; Rodentia; Bathyergidae.
AGCUUUGCGCAGUGGCAGUAUCAUAGCCAAUGAGAUUUAUCUGAGGCGUGAUUAUUACCAAUUGAAAACUUAUAUAUUCUAAAA